RNAcentral lists this long non-coding RNA (1123 nucleotides) under Chrysemys picta bellii (western painted turtle). Its description in RNAcentral is "lncRNA (ENSCPBG00000011878.1)". The record is from RNAcentral. Lineage: Eukaryota; Metazoa; Chordata; Testudines; Emydidae.
UGUUUUCCAUUAACUGAUUGCAUGUUCAGCAGGGCUAAAGAUCAGGACAUUUUGUAAAGCUCCCUUAUCCUUAAGCUAAGUUUUAUCAGAGAGAUUUUAUACUAAGAUGAGUGUUUGAAAGCAAAAUGAUGCUGCCACGCACAUUACACAACAGAAGUGGGAUUAGCAGGAAUAACAAAAACCUGUCAAAGCACAAAACCGUGGCCUAGUAGCCCUGACAAAUUAAACAGCCUGCAAUGAGUGCUGGAGCAUGAAAAUCACUCACCCUUCCUCUCCUAUCCCUUGGAGGUUUUUAUACCACAGCCAUCAUGGGAGUGUCUUACUGUGCACAAGACAAUUCCUUUAUGCAGACAGAAUGGUACUUUUACUGAUCCCCAAAAGUCUGAAAUGCACAGCUGCACAAUGCAUGAACAUCUGCAUAUUUUUUGGUAAAUAUAUAUUGGCACAACGCUUGAAAAUAGGUUCAACUGUUCACCCCGUUAGCACCAAUUGAAAUAGUUAAUUAUGAACUCUAUCCUAUGAAUAGACAGUAAAGGAGGAUGCAUAUUGUAUUUUCAUUUAAUCUUGUUCUUGUGAUGCUUCCCAAGGGCUACCUAGGGUUGUGAGGUACCUUCCACCAUAUCUGCCCUUAGUGCGAGGAAGUCUUAGCUGUGCCUGCUGUGGAUCAGCUCCCUGACAUUAGUCUCUGGCAACACAAGCACUAUCAUCCAGGACUUCACAGACCUCGCUUUCUCUGUGCAGGCUAGUGAUAAACACACACCAACAACCGGUGAGUCCCCAGAGCACCCCCUGGAGUGCCCAGCCUCUGAGCUUCUGAUCCACUGAACCCUCACAGAACUCUCAGAUUCCCCAUUCCCAAAGGACACACAAGCUUACAAUAUUCAGCUCGGCAUCACCACUUUACUUAACAAUCGGUACUUGGGUAUAUUUAUAGAGAACACAGGAAUAAGAUUAUUACCAAAGAACAGAGAUUCAAAUGAUAGUAAAAGGAAGAAUAUUGGAUACAAAUGGUCACAUAUAAAACAAAAUAAUAACAUGCUUUCUAGAGCCUAAAUUUAACUCACAGGAUAUCCCCUUAUCUCUACAAGAUAGCUUACCCCAAGUCUUUUCCCCAGCAUUUUCA